GACGAACGCUGGCGGCGUGCCUAAUACAUGCAAGUUGAGCGCUGAAGGUUGGUACUUGUACCAACUGGAUGAGCAGCGAACGGGUGAGUAACGCGUGGGGAAUCUGCCUUUGAGCGGGGGACAACAUUUGGAAACGAGUGCUAAUACCGCAUAAAAACUUUAAACACAAGUUUUAAGUUUGAAAGAUGCAAUUGCAUCACUCAAAGAUGAUCCCGCGUUGUAUUAGCUAGUUGGUGAGGUAAAGGCUCACCAAGGCGAUGAUACAUAGCCGACCUGAGAGGGUGAUCGGCCACAUUGGGACUGAGACACGGCCCAAACUCCUACGGGAGGCAGCAGUAGGGAAUCUUCGGCAAUGGACGAAAGUCUGACCGAGCAGCGCCGCGUGAGUGAAGAAGGGUUUCGGAUCGUAAAACUCUGUUGGUAGAGAAGAACGUUGGUGAGAGUGGAAAGCUCAUCAAGUGACGGUAACUACCCAGAAAGGGACGGCUAACUACGUG
This 497-nucleotide ribosomal RNA is filed under the name uncultured bacterium. Its description in RNAcentral is "partial 16S ribosomal RNA". It matches the Rfam family "Bacterial small subunit ribosomal RNA", at positions 28 to 507 of the family's 1533-position model. The record is from RNAcentral.